Molecule: ribosomal RNA, 213 nt
Filed under: uncultured archaeon
Lineage: Archaea
Description: partial 16S ribosomal RNA
Rfam family: Archaeal small subunit ribosomal RNA
Source: RNAcentral
GUAGGGGUGAAAUCUCGUAAUCCUUGGGGGACCACCGAUGGCGAAGGCAUCCCACCAGAACGGGUCCGACGGUGAGGGACGAAAGCUGGGGGCACGAACCGGAUUAGAUACCCGGGUAGUCCCAGCUGUAAACGAUGCUCGCUAGGUGUCAGGUGCGGUGCGACCGCAUUUGGUGCCGUAGUGAAAACUUGAAGCGAGUCACCUGGGAAAUCA